GAUGAACGCUGGCGGCGUGCCUAAUACAUGCAAGUCGAGCGUACAGACGAGGAGCUUGCUCCUCUGACGUUAGCGGCGGACGGGUGAGUAACACGUGGAUAACCUACCUAUAAGACUGGGAUAACUUCGGGAAACCGGAGCUAAUACCGGAUAACAUGUUGAACCGCAUGGUUCAACAGUGAAAGACGGUCUUGCUGUCACUUAUAGAUGGAUCCGCGCCGCAUUAGCUAGUUGGUAAGGUAACGGCUUACCAAGGCAACGAUGCGUAGCCGACCUGAGAGGGUGAUCGGCCACACUGGAACUGAGACACGGUCCAGACUCCUACGGGAGGCAGCAGUAGGGAAUCUUCCGCAAUGGGCGAAAGCCUGACGGAGCAACGCCGCGUGAGUGAAGAAGGUCUUCGGAUCGUAAAACUCUGUUAUUAGGGAAGAACAAAUGUGUAAGUAACUAUGCACGUCUUGACGGUACCUAAUCAGAAAGCCACGGCUAACUACGU
This 496-nucleotide ribosomal RNA is filed under the name uncultured bacterium. RNAcentral describes it as "partial 16S ribosomal RNA". It matches the Rfam family "Bacterial small subunit ribosomal RNA", at positions 28 to 506 of the family's 1533-position model. The record is from RNAcentral.